RNAcentral lists this unclassified non-coding RNA (2552 nucleotides) under Hevea brasiliensis (rubber tree). Lineage: Eukaryota; Viridiplantae; Streptophyta; Magnoliopsida; Malpighiales; Euphorbiaceae. The record is from RNAcentral.
GAGAAUUUAUGUAUUCUGUCAAUUGUGAGGAAUCACGUAGCAGAACUAUCAUAUCAGAUGAUGUCAUGUGUGCAGACACAGAAUUUGGUAAUCUUCAACUACCUAUCUGUUCAAUGGGCACUCAAUUUCCAUCGCAGUAAUGAUCUUCACGAGACUGAGACGUCCACAAUUCAAAGCAGCAAUACAUGGUGAAAAUGUGACUUUUGUAGAUAAUUUCUGCGACUUUAGAAGAAUACUUGAAGCUUGUCUAGAAUAUCCCACACUACCAAGAAGGCCUUCAGAUUGGAAGUCAAACAUGUGAAACAGAUGCGAGGUUGAUAUGACUUCAAAAUAUCAUUCUGAGCUAGGAUUUAGAAGCUAUGCCGAUUACUGAAAUCUGGUGACUGAGAAUUUCUGAUUGCACUCUAGAUGUGUAAGUUUGAGAUGGUCGUCGAAGGUGAUGCCAGCAGAAACUUCAAUCAACAUAUCUCACACCGGCUCCAUAUUUAUCAUCUUGUUAAUUUUCUUCACUGAAGCUAUGGAUUUAGUUCACAAAGUAAGCAGCUUGAACUCGGGGGCUGAGAAUAUGCUCUAUUCCCUCUCUUUUCAGACUUGAAAUUUUAAUGGAACACCAACUCAAUGACCUCAUGACACAUCACCAACUUCAGCAACAAAAUAAGAAUCCGAGGUGCAGGGUUGAUAUCCAGCUUCCUUCAUGUGACCGACCAACUGAGAAAUCACUUCAUUUAUCUCCUCUAUCCGAUGAUGGACCCUGACUCUGGCCACAAAUUCAUGUCUUGAAUUUCCCACCUCAAUCCAACUUUGAGCUGCCUCUUUCCUCAAUCCUCUCUCCUCCAUGACCCUUCUCACUAUAUGGGCAUCAAUCCAUCUAUCAGCUGCAACAUAAAUAUUUGAUAACAUAGUAUAUCUUGCAGCAUUUGUUGGUUCCAACUCAAACAAAACUUCUGCUGCACACCUAGCAAGAUCCAAGUUCCCAUGGACCCGACAAGCCCCCAAAAGUGCGCCCCACAUCCCAACAUGAUCUGAUCCAUUAGGUGCUGACUCAAUUAAUUCCAUUGCUUCCUUCAGCCUAUUUUUCCUCCCUAACAAAUCAAUCAAUACUGAAUAGUGCUCUGAUUUUGGGUUUACACCAUAAUCCUUCUCCAUCAUAUGAAGAAUCUUGAGUCCUUCAUGAACUAAACCUGUGUGACUACAAGCGAAUAACACCCCAAGAAAUGUGACAUGAUUGGGCAUUGUGUUUGCUUCUAUCAUCUUCCUAAAUGCGUGGAGUGAUUCCUCUGCAUGCCCAUUCUGAGCAAGCCCUGUUAUCAAUGAGUUCCAAGACACAAUAUCCUUCUCUGGCAUCCUGUCAAACAAUGUCUUGGAUGAUUUCAUCUCUCCACACUUGCAAUACAUGUCAAUUAAUGCAUUGAGUAUGUAUAUGUUAAACAAAUCACUUCUACUGCUUCUUCUAAUGAUGUGUCCAUGGAUCUGUUUGCCUUUUUCAAUAAGAGCAAGAUCUGCACAAGCACUUAAAACAGUGACAAAGGUAAAAGCAUUAGGCUGGAUACCCUCUUCAAGCAUUCGUCCAAAAAGUUCCAAAACUUUAUAGCUGUGCCCAUUUUGUGCAAAACCAGCUAUCAAACUAGUCCAAGAAACUGUGUUCUUAACUGGCAUUUCCAUGAAAAUCUGAAAAGCAUCAUCCAUACUAGACGCGCGAGCAUAUGCUCCAACCAUUGAAGUCCAUGACACGACAUCCCUUUCAAGCAUUUGAGUAAAUAUACAAUAAGAUGUUUCGGGUUUACCACAUUUCCCAUAAGCAUCAAUCAAAGCAUUGUAAACUAUCCUGUUUAACUCCAAACCAGUAAGUAUUGCUGCUCCAUGCACUUGACGCAACAAUCCUAACACACCUAGAGAAGCGCAAGAACCAACUACACUUACCACCGUAAACUCGUCUAAACAUAAACAAGUACAAUCCUUUUGCAUUCUUUUAAAGACAUUUAUCGAUUCUGAAUAAAACCCAUGAUGAAACAAUCCUGAAAUCAAUGAAUUAUAGCCAACAAUAUUUGGUUCAGGGAUUUUAUCAAAUAAUUGGCGGGCUUUCUCGAACAAACCCACUUGCGAGUAAGCAGUAAUCAAAGUGUUCCAAGAACGAUUGUUCUUAAUAGGGAUGUCACCGAAAGCUUUCUGGGCACUCUCGAUUUCAUUGCACUUGGAGUACGUAUCUAUCAAACGGUUGGAGAAAAAGGGAAUAAUGGUGAGUGCUGUUUUGAUGAGAUAAGAGUGAACGGCCGUGCCAAGCUUGAGGUUUCUGGUUGUGAUACAUAUGGAAAUGAGGGAUGUAAUCUUAUCACCAGAACUAACUAUAUCCAUAGGAAUCAUGAAGGUGGGGUUGAUAAUUGCAUGGAGGAUUAACAAGAGACAUUACUCUCUUUAUAGUUUUCUAUGGCUGCUCUUGUUCAACACCAACGAAUCUGGCCUUUUCCAGCCAGAUGAAAACUGGCCUAGUUGAGCUUCACCAUUGGCCCGAGAUGAACAAACCGCUCGUUGAAAUUGAAGAAAAUUUAACCCUU